UACAGAGGGUGCAAACGUUGCUCGGAAUUAUUGGGCGUAAAGCGUGCGCAGGCGGCCUCUUAAGUCAGAUGUGAAAUCCCCGGGCUUAACCUGGGAACUGCGUUUGAAACUGGGAGGCUUGAGUGUGGAAGAGGGGGGUGGAAUUCCAGGUGUAGCAGUGAAAUGCGUAGAGAUCAGGCGGAACACCCGUGGCGAAGGCGGCCAGCUGGGCCGUCCCUGACGCUGAGGCGCGAAGGCGUGGGGAGCGAACGGG
Molecule: ribosomal RNA, 253 nt
Filed under: uncultured bacterium
Lineage: Bacteria
Description: partial 16S ribosomal RNA
Rfam family: Bacterial small subunit ribosomal RNA
Source: RNAcentral